CGACGAACUCUGGUAUUGAUUGGUGCUUGCAUCAUGAUUUACAUUUGAGUGAGUGGCGAACUGGUGAGUAACACGUGGGAAACCUGCCCAGAAGCGGGGGAUAACACCUGGAAACAGAUGCUAAUACCGCAUAACAACUUGGACCGCAUGGUCCGAGUUUGAAAGAUGGCUUCGGCUAUCACUUUUGGAUGGUCCCGCGGCGUAUUAGCUAGAUGGUGGGGUAACGGCUCACCAUGGCAAUGAUACGUAGCCGACCUGAGAGGGUAAUCGGCCACAUUGGGACUGAGACACGGCCCAAACUCCUACGGGAGGCAGCAGUAGGGAAUCUUCCACAAUGGACGAAAGUCUGAUGGAGCAACGCCGCGUGAGUGAAGAAGGGUUUCGGCUCGUAAAACUCUGUUGUUAAAGAAGAACAUAUCUGAGAGUAACUGUUCAGGUAUUGACGGUAUUUAACCAGAAAGCCACGGCUAACUACGUGCCAGCAGCCGCGGUAAUACGUAGGUGGCAAGCGUUGUCCGGAUUUAUUGGGCGUAAAGCGAGCGCAGGCGGUUUUUUAAGUCUGAUGUGAAAGCCUUCGGCUCAACCGAAGAAGUGCAUCGGAAACUGGGAAACUUGAGUGCAGAAGAGGACAGUGGAACUCCAUGUGUAGCGGUGAAAUGCGUAGAUAUAUGGAAGAACACCAGUGGCGAAGGCGGCUGUCUGGUCUGUAACUGA
Molecule: ribosomal RNA, 714 nt
Filed under: Lactiplantibacillus pentosus
Lineage: Bacteria; Bacillati; Bacillota; Bacilli; Lactobacillales; Lactobacillaceae
Description: bacterial SSU rRNA
Rfam family: Bacterial small subunit ribosomal RNA
Source: RNAcentral